Molecule: non-coding RNA, 1303 nt
Organism: Elaeis guineensis (African oil palm)
Lineage: Eukaryota; Viridiplantae; Streptophyta; Magnoliopsida; Arecales; Arecaceae
Source: RefSeq, a predicted model, not a curated record
UUCCCCGAGCUCCGAUCAAUUUGAUGCUGAUACUGUUCGAAGCGUGCGGGUGAAUGAUCAAGCCGGUGGACGGCAUUGUGGGGUUGCCGUGUAGUGGGAAUUGACACCUCAGCUGUGCGAUGGCUCACUUCAGUCAGAUUCGCCUCGAUCGAGUGCAUAAGAGGAGUGCGGAGGCUAUGCUAAUCUUCUUUGAGCUUUCCUAUUUAGUUGCCACAGUAAACAUCCCACCUAGUUGAGUCUCUUCGAUUGCCAGGGGGCUUCGGCACAAGAGAGGCCUCGAUGUCGGUAGAGGUGAGGUAUGAGCGGGGUGACUUCGAUUGCCUAGAUCUAGAAGAAAUCAUUUCCAUGACUGGGGGAAAGCUCGAUUUGCCAGAUCUAAGAGAGAUCGGUGCGAGCGGAGUUGGGACAUGUGGGAGACCCCAGGACCGUUGUGGAUGGUCCUAGCAUCGACGGAAGCGGCUUCAGCUUGGUGGCAGCGGCAGAUCCGGGCCUUGCCGUAUUGGAAAUGGAGAUUGGGCUUCGUCGACGCUCGGGGGUGAGAGGCUAGGAGGCUUUGGAGGGGCUCACUCGUGGGCAAUCUCGAUGCCUGCAGAUGCGAGGAUGCGCACGAGGAACCCUAAACCCACGGAUCCAGUGAUGCACGACGUCUUUCAAGGCACGCAUGCGCGGGUUUGAGUCUGACGAUGCAGGAGGGCCGGAGUCCCACCUAUGCCCCAAGCGGGGCCGCCGCUAGGCCCCAUUUUUCUCCCCUUUCUCUCUUCUUCUUUCUUCUUCCUUUUUUUCUUUUUUUCUUAUGGAGGAACUUUGGUGCCUCCACAGAAGGGGAGCCGCUCGGGUUGCUUCAAUUGGGUCCGAGUUCGGAAUCGAGGUGGCGUCAGGGGCUCAGAUUUGUAGAGGAUUGGCACUGCAGAGCUACAAAGAACUUGUUUUGGCAUCGUCCGGCUUGAUCGAUCACAGGAAGAGCUCGAUUUGGUCUCCACACCCAAGGAAGUGCACCAACAACUAGUGGAGUUUAUGUACUGAUACAUCGAUAUCCUUCUAAUAGGGGGUUAUAUGUUGGCAUUUGACUAUUCUGAGCUCAUUCUGACCUAGCCAUAGGGUAUAAAUGUUGUUAUAGUUCAUGGAUGUCAAGAUGAACCGAAUAUUUUGAAAGAGAUUGAUUUACAAACAAAAAUAAAUUUUGAAAGGAUUAAAUUUUCAUGUAUUUUAUUUUGAUUACUGUUGUAUAUUUCAAAUUGGAUUUUGAAUUAUUGUACUAUGUAUGCUUACUUUUAGUAUAUUAUUAUUGCUAAAUUUAUCUAUC